Molecule: transfer RNA, 58 nt
Filed under: Falcidens halanychi
Lineage: Eukaryota; Metazoa; Mollusca; Caudofoveata; Chaetodermatida; Chaetodermatidae
Description: tRNA-Ser
Source: RNAcentral
AACUAUUAUUAUAUUUAUUUUGAAAGUAGAUUAAAAGUAUUGAGUUACUUAGUAGUUU